This 247-nucleotide long non-coding RNA is filed under the name Elaeis guineensis (African oil palm). Its description in RNAcentral is "long non-coding RNA (EGUI_LNC077926)". The record is from RNAcentral. Lineage: Eukaryota; Viridiplantae; Streptophyta; Magnoliopsida; Arecales; Arecaceae.
CCCUUUUCGGGGGAUACAGGGCGACUGGCCCAAGUGGGCCACCCGAUUGUCGGAUUCUGGAACUCCGACGAUGCUCUUUCUAGCUGCACAGAUGCCUGCAGCUGCUGCUGCAUGGUCUGCACCACUUCGGUGAGGUCUCUCUGACCUGCUGAACCAGCAGGUCGAAUUGCUCCAUGCCGACUGUCGUUGCCAGAGGAGGAGGAGCCUGAAAAACUGGAGACGAGGCUGGAGCUGGUGGAUCUUGCUG